AUUGAACGCUGGCGGCAUGCUUUACACAUGCAAGUCGAACGGUAACAGGGUGCUUGCACCGCUGACGAGUGGCGAACGGGUGAGUAAUGCGUCGGAACGUGCCGAGUAGUGGGGGAUAACGCAGCGAAAGUUGUGCUAAUACCGCAUACGUACUGAGGUAGAAAGUGGGGGACCUUCGGGCCUUACGCUAUUCGAGCGGCCGACGUCUGAUUAGCUAGUAGGUGAGGUAAAGGCUCACCUAGGCGACGAUCAGUAGCGGGUCUGAGAGGAUGAUCCGCCACACUGGGACUGAGACACGGCCCAGACUCCUACGGGAGGCAGCAGUGGGGAAUAUUGGACAAUGGGCGCAAGCCUGAUCCAGCCAUACCGCGUGGGUGAAGAAGGCCUUCGGGUUGUAAAGCCCUUUUGUUGGGAAAGAAAUCCAGCUGGCUAAUACCCGGUUGGGAUGACGGUACCCAAAGAAUAAGCACCGGCUAACUUCGUGCCAGCCGCCGCCGUAA
This 500-nucleotide ribosomal RNA is filed under the name uncultured bacterium. RNAcentral's name for it is "partial 16S ribosomal RNA". It matches the Rfam family "Bacterial small subunit ribosomal RNA", at positions 30 to 523 of the family's 1533-position model. The record is from RNAcentral.